This 1013-nucleotide ribosomal RNA is filed under the name marine metagenome. RNAcentral's name for it is "bacterial SSU rRNA". It matches the Rfam family "Bacterial small subunit ribosomal RNA", at positions 8 to 1065 of the family's 1533-position model. The record is from RNAcentral.
AGAGUUUGAUCAUGGCUCAGAACGUACGCUGGCGGCACGCCUAACACAUGCAAGUCGAACGAAGUAGCAAUACUUAGUGGCAGACGGGUGAGUAACAUGUAGGUAUCUACCCUUUGGCCUGGAAUAACACGAGGAAACUUGUGCUAAUACCGGAUAAGUCUUUACGGAGAAAGCUUUAUGCACCAUUGGAUGAGCCUGCACUUGAUUAGUUUGUUGGUGGGGUAAUGGCCUACCAAGACUGUGAUCAAUAGCUGAUUUGAGAGGAUGAUCAGCCACAUUGGGACUGAGACACGGCCCAAACUCCUACGGGAGGCAGCAGUGGGGAAUCUUGCACAAUGGAGGAAACUCUGAUGCAGCGAUGCCGCGUGAGUGAAGAAGGCCUUUGGGUUGUAAAGCUCUUUCGUCGGGGAAGAAAAUGACUGUACCCGAAUAAGAAGGUCCGGCUAACUUCGUGCCAGCAGCCGCGGUAAUACGAAGGGACCUAGCGUAGUUCGGAAUUACUGGGCUUAAAGAGUUCGUAGGUGGUUGAAAAAGUUGGUGGUGAAAUCCCAGAGCUUAACUCUGGAACUGCCAUCAAAACUUUUCAGCUAGAGUAUGAUAGAGGAAAGCAGAAUUUCUAGUGUAGAGGUGAAAUUCGUAGAUAUUAGAAAGAAUACCAAUUGCGAAGGCAGCUUUCUGGAUCAUUACUGACACUGAGGAACGAAAGCAUGGGUAGCGAAGAGGAUUAGAUACCCUCGUAGUCCAUGCCGUAAACGAUGUGUGUUAGACGUUGGAAAUUUAUUUUCAGUGUCGCAGCGAAAGCGAUAAACACACCGCCUGGGGAGUACGACCGCAAGGUUAAAACUCAAAUGAAUUGACGGGGACCCGCACAAGUAGUGGAGCAUGUGGUUUAAUUCGAAGAUACGCGCAGAACCUUACCAACACUUGACAUGUUCGUCGCGACUCUAAGAGAUUAGAGUUUUCGGUUCGGCCGGACGAAACACAGGUGCUGCAUGGCUGUCGUCAGCUCGUGU